GUUAACCCAACACAGGUGUGCUAAAAGGAAAGAUCAAAAGAAGAAAAAGGAACUCGGCAAACCUUAACCCCGCCUGUUUACCAAAAACAUCACCUCUAGCAUUACUAGUAUUAGAGGCACUGCCUGCCCAGUGACACACGUUCAACGGCCGCGGUAUCCUGACCGUGCAAAGGUAGCAUAAUCACUUGUUCCUUAAUUAGGGACUCGCAUGAAUGGCAACACGAGGGUUUAACUGUCUCUUUCUUCCAAUCAGUGAAAUUGACCUCCCCGUGAAGAGGCGGGGAUGCAACAAUAAGACGAGAAGACCCUAUGGAGCUUC
Molecule: ribosomal RNA, 319 nt
Filed under: Nesolagus timminsi (Annamite striped rabbit)
Lineage: Eukaryota; Metazoa; Chordata; Mammalia; Lagomorpha; Leporidae
Description: partial large subunit ribosomal RNA
Rfam family: Bacterial large subunit ribosomal RNA
Source: RNAcentral